This 371-nucleotide ribosomal RNA is filed under the name uncultured bacterium. RNAcentral describes it as "bacterial SSU rRNA". It matches the Rfam family "Bacterial small subunit ribosomal RNA", at positions 917 to 1291 of the family's 1533-position model. The record is from RNAcentral.
GGGCCCGCACAAGCGGUGGAGUAUGUGGUUUAAUUCGAUGCAACGCGAAGAACCUUACCAGGGCUUGACAUCCUGCGAAUCUCUGGGAAACCGGAGAGUGCCUUCGGGAACGCAGUGACAGGUGGUGCAUGGCUGUCGUCAGCUCGUGUCGUGAGAUGUUGGGUUAAGUCCCGCAACGAGCGCAACCCACGUCUUUAGUUGCCAGCAUUUAGUUGGGCACUCUAGAGAGACCGCCGGUGACAAACCGGAGGAAGUGUGGAUGACGUCAAGUCAUCAUGCCCCUUACAUCCUGGGCUACACACGUACUACAAUGCUACGGACAAAGGGCAGCAAACUCGCGAGAGCUAGCAAAUCCCAUAAACGUGGCUCAG